RNAcentral lists this ribosomal RNA (161 nucleotides) under uncultured bacterium. RNAcentral describes it as "partial 16S ribosomal RNA". The record is from RNAcentral.
GCACAGAGUUAGCCGGUGCUUCUUCAUUGAGUAACGUCAGCUUACCGGGGUAUUAACCCGGCACAUUUCGUUCCCAUCGAAAGUGCUUUACAACCCGCAGGCCUUCUUCACACACGCGGCGUCGCUGGAUCAGGCUUUCGCCCAUUGUCCAAUAUUCCCCA